Molecule: ribosomal RNA, 301 nt
Filed under: uncultured bacterium
Lineage: Bacteria
Description: partial 16S ribosomal RNA
Rfam family: Bacterial small subunit ribosomal RNA
Source: RNAcentral
CAGUAGCCGCGGUAAUACGUAGGUGGCAAGCGUUGUCCGGAAUUAUUGGGCGUAAAGGGCUCGCAGGCGGUUUCUUAAGCCUGAUGUGAAAGCCCCCGGCUCAACCGGGGAGGGUCAUUGGAAACUGGGAAACUUGAGUGCAGAAGAGGAGAGUGGAAUUCCACGUGUAGCGGUGAAAUGCGUAGAGAUGUGGAGGAACACCAGUGGCGAAGGCGACUCUCUGGUCUGUAACUGACGCUGAGGAGCGAAAGCGUGGGGAGCGAACAGGAUUAGAUACCCCAGUAGUCCCUGUCUCUUAUAA